This 218-nucleotide microRNA precursor is filed under the name Medicago truncatula (barrel medic). RNAcentral's name for it is "MIR2655 microRNA precursor family". It matches the Rfam family "MIR2655 microRNA precursor family". The record is from Rfam by way of RNAcentral. Lineage: Eukaryota; Viridiplantae; Streptophyta; Magnoliopsida; Fabales; Fabaceae.
CCCUUAACUAUUAAAAGUUUCGUUUUGGCCUCUUAACUUAUUUUUUGGUUUCGUUUGGUCCCUUAACUUAUUUUUUGGUUUCAUUUUGGUCCCUUAACUCUAAUACAUUCAUCCUAACAUAAAGGACCAAAGUGGUUGACGGAGGAAGAGUUAAGGGACCAAAACGAAACCAAAAAGUAAGUUAUGAGACCAAAACGAAACUUUUAAUAAUUAAGGGA